Brassica napus (rape) is the source of this 695-nucleotide long non-coding RNA. RefSeq lists it as uncharacterized. The record is from RefSeq and is a predicted model, not a curated record. The transcript is spliced from 2 exons. Lineage: Eukaryota; Viridiplantae; Streptophyta; Magnoliopsida; Brassicales; Brassicaceae.
CAUAUUAUUAUAUUCGGUUUUACCUAAGUUUUCGUGCUAAGGAUUCGUCGUGUACUCCCGUUGUGCAUGGUCUUAGUCUAAUUGGAAUUAAAAAUAAAAUGAAAAAUACAUUAAUAAGAAGGUACGUCUCUUAAUCAAGGGUCUGUUGUGGGCACAGGUGUCCAGAAAUGAAUGGGGGAAGAGAUGUUUGGUGUUUAACGCUUUCGGCUUCUCUCUCUCUCUCCCUCUCCUCUCCUCUUUCGGCUUCUCUUCGCAAUCGCCGGCGGGGGCGAGAUACCGUCGGAUUCGGAGAACGAAGAUGACUUGGAGAUGCUUCGGAGCCUCAAGAGCCAAUUAGCUUCGUCGACGGGGUCCUCCCGUGGGUUUACCACUGCCUUCGGAUUCGGAGAGUGGUGACGACUUCGAGUUGCUUCGGAGCUGGCUUUGUCGAUGAUGAUUUUUUUUGAAACGCUUCGUGCUAUUCGUAGGCGGUUCUCUACUUAUGCAAAUCUUGUGGAAGAAGAAGCGCAUGAGGAGACUGAAGAGGAAGCGCAGGAAGAUGAGACAGCAAUCCAAGUAGUCUGUGUCUCCAUGCCUAUCCAUAAAUCUCUGAACCUUUAUGUUUUGUGCCAUUACAUUUAUGUUGGAAUAAUCGUUUGUAGAACAUGGUUUGAUCACUCCCUUUAUUUGUCUACCCAGAGCAGAGAUUUAUCUUA